GGAGGGGUGCAAGCGUUAAUCGGAAUUACUGGGCGUAAAGCGCACGCAGGGCGGUUUGUUAAGUCAGAUGUGAAAUCCCCGGGGCUCAACCUGGGAACUGCAUCUGAUACUGGCAAGCUUGAGUCUCGUAGAGGGGGGUAGAAUUCCAGGUGUAGCGGUGAAAUGCGUAGAGAUCUGGAGGGAUACCGGUGGCGAAGGCGGCCCCCUGGACGAAGACUGACGCUCAGGUGCGAAAGCGUGGGGAGCAAACAGGAUUAGAUACCCUGGUAGUCCACGCCGUAAACGAUGUCGACUUGGAGGUUGUGCCCUUGAGGCGUGGCUUCCGGAGCUAACGCGUUAAGUCGACCGCCUGGGGAGUACGGCCGCAAGGUUAA
Molecule: ribosomal RNA, 374 nt
Filed under: uncultured organism
Description: partial 16S ribosomal RNA
Rfam family: Bacterial small subunit ribosomal RNA
Source: RNAcentral